GAAACCCAGUGUGUUUCGACACACUAUCAUGUCAUGAAUACAUAGUGGCAUGAGGCGAACCGGGGGAACUGAAACAUCUAAGUACCCCGAGGAAAAGAAAUCAACCGAGAUUCCCCCAGUAGCGGCGAGCGAACGGGGAGGAGCCCAGAACCUGAAUCGGCUUGUGUGUUAGUGGAAGCGUCUGGAAAGUCGCGCAGCAAAGGGUGAUAGCCCCGUACACUAAAAUGCACAGGUCGUGAGUUCGAUGAGUAGGGCGGGACACGUGACAUCCUGUCUGAAUAUGGGGGGACCAUCCUCCAAGGCUAAAUACUCCUGACUGACCGAUAGUGAACCAGUACCGUGAGGGAAAGGCGAAAAGAACCCCGGCGAGGGGAGUGAAAUAGAACCUGAAACCGUGUACGUACAAGCAGUGGGAGCACCUUCGUGGUGUGACUGCGUACCUUUUGUAUAAUGGGUCAGCGACUUAUAUUUUGUAGCAAGGUUAACCGUAUAGGGGAGCCGUAGGGAAACCGAGUCUUAACUGGGCGAAUAGUUGCAAGGUAUAGACCCGAAACCCGGUGA
This 561-nucleotide ribosomal RNA is filed under the name Serratia marcescens. RNAcentral's name for it is "partial 23S ribosomal RNA". It matches the Rfam family "Bacterial large subunit ribosomal RNA", at positions 123 to 728 of the family's 2925-position model. The record is from RNAcentral. Lineage: Bacteria; Pseudomonadati; Pseudomonadota; Gammaproteobacteria; Enterobacterales; Yersiniaceae.